Small RNA from Tannerella forsythia 92A2, 55 nucleotides. It matches the Rfam family "Acido-Lenti-1 RNA". Lineage: Bacteria; Pseudomonadati; Bacteroidota; Bacteroidia; Bacteroidales; Tannerellaceae. The record is from Rfam.
CCCAACGCUUCGCUUCGCUACGCAUUGGGCUGAAUUAUUACGCCCUUUCAGGGCU